RNAcentral lists this ribosomal RNA (1632 nucleotides) under Drosophila nigromelanica. RNAcentral describes it as "eukaryotic LSU rRNA". The stretch from base 501 to 1632 matches the Rfam family "Eukaryotic large subunit ribosomal RNA", at positions 1 to 954 of the family's 3401-position model. The record is from RNAcentral. Lineage: Eukaryota; Metazoa; Arthropoda; Insecta; Diptera; Drosophilidae.
GUCGAUGAAAGAACGCAGCAAACUGUGCGUCAUCGUGUGAACUGCAGGACACAUGAACAUCGACAUUUUGAACGCAUAUCGCAGUCCAUGCUGUUAUGUACUUUAAUUAAUUUUAUAGUGCUGCUUGGACUACAUAUGGUUGAGGGUUGUAAGACUAUGCUAAUUAAGUUGUUUAAAAUUUUUCGGAAUUUUAAGCAUAUUGUAUAUUAUUGGAUAUUUUUGUACUUAACAAUACAUAUUCAUAAUAUUAAUCUUUUGAUUAUGGAAAUACUACUUCUCUUUGUAUAUUUUGUUUGAGAAAACUGAAGAAAUAUAUUUUCUUUUUUUCAAUUCAAUAAAUACUGAGGAAUGUCUAGCAUAAAAAAUAAAAAUUUUUCAUCUAGAAUUGCCUCUUAUUAAUGAUGCGAUAAAAGAAUUGUUGUCAAAUUAUAAGUCUUCAAAAUAAAAAAUCCAUAGUUAUUAUUGAACAAAUUUUAUAGUUCAAUUAACAUUGUUUUAUACAACCUCAACUCAUAUGGGACUACCCCCUGAAUUUAAGCAUAUUAAUUAGGGGAGGAAAAGAAACUAACAAGGAUUUUCUUAGUAGCGGCGAGCGAAAAGAAAAAAGUUCAGCACUAAGUCACUUUGUCUAUAUGGCAAAUGUGAGAUGCAGUGUACGGAACAUCAAUAUUCUAGUAUGAGAAAUUAACGAUUUAAGUCCUUCUUAAAUGAGGCCAUUUACCCAUAGAGGGUGCCAGGCCCGUAUAACGUUAAUGAUUACUAGAUGGUGUUUCCAAAGAGUCGUGUUGCUUGAUAGUGCAGCACUAAGUGGGUGGUAAACUCCAUCUAAAACUAAAUAUAACCAUGAGACCGAUAGUAAACAAGUACCGUGAGGGAAAGUUGAAAAGAACUCUGAAUAGAGAGUUAAAUAGUACGUGAAACUGCUUAGAGGUUAAGCCCGAUGAACCUGAAUAUCCGUUAUGGAAAAUUCAUCAUUAGAAUUGUAAUAUUUAAACAAUAUUGUAAUAAUAGUGUGCAUUUUUUCCAUAUAAGGACAUUGUAAUCUAUUAGCAUGAAUAAUUUAUCAAAAAAUUGUGACUUAUUGUUUAUUUCAAUUAUGGUGCUUGCAUUUUAACAUAAAAUAAAUGUCAUAAAUUUGAUAAAGUGCUGAUAGAUUUAUAUGAUUACAGUGCGUUAAUUUUUCGGAAUUAUAUAAUGGCAUAUUUAUCAUUGAUUUUUAUGUUUAUUAUAAGCACUUGUAUGAUUAACAAUGCGAAAGAUUCAGGAUACCUUCGGGACCCGUCUUGAAACACGGACCAAGGAGUCUAACAUAUGUGCAAGUUAUUGGGAAAUAAACCUAAUAGCGUAAUUAACUUGACUAUUAAUGGGAUUAGUUUUUUAGCUAUUUAUAGUUAAUUAACACAAUCCCGGGGCGUUCUAUAUAGUUAUGUAUAAUGAUAUUUAUAUUAUUUAUACCUCUAACUGGAACGUACCUUGAGCAGAUAUGCUGUGACCCGAAAGAUGGUGAACUAUACUUGAUCAGGUUGAAGUCAGGGGAAACCCUGAUGGAAGACCGAAACAGUUCUGACGUGCAAAUCGAUUGUCAGAAUUGAGUAUAGGGGCGAAAGACCAAUCGAACCAUCUAGUAGCUGG